UUAGCUCCUUUUUGUCCUACUGGCCUCAGUUUAUUUGCUGUUCCUCAGAGGGGCCUUCCCUGACCACCCUGUUAUAAAUAGAUCUCCCUGUAUCCUUUAUUCUCUUUCUCCACCCUUUAUUUGUUACUUUCAUUAAUGUAUUAGAAUUUUUAAUCAUUUUACUUAUUUGUCUGUUUACUGGUAUUUUUAAAAUAUCUAUUUUCCCACUAGAACGUAAGGUCCAUUAGGACAAGAGUCAUGUCUGUCUUGCCACCAUUGCCCCCUGGCCCCUCCCCCCCCCAAGCCUAGCACAGUGCCUGGCAGGGAGUAGAUAGCCAUCAACAUUGGUGGGGGCUUUGCUGGACUGAAGGAAGAAUCAGGUAACUGAUCAAGAGUCCCCUUGAACUUUGGCGCCUGGAAACUGAGGGCCAGAUCUGUAGUGCAGCUGCAGUGACUGCCCAUGUCCUUCAGAUCCCCUGCCAGAUGUGUGUGCUGACUUCUUAUCUGAUUUCACCUUCCUCAGUGGACCCUGUUCGCACUGACCCAUGUAACUGAUGUUUAUAAUUUACAGUAAGAAUCAGACUUUCCGUCAUGAUUUAAAGCAAAUAUGAUGACACUGCAGGCUAGACACAUUGUCUUUGUGUAAUUCCCAGAAGCCAGAACAGUGUAAACAGUGCAACAGAGCUAUGGCAACUGAUGCUUUCUCUUCACCAGGACUGUCCUUCAGCGAGAGCCCUCAGGUGAGGCCCUGGUACCCUUGGGGCUUGGGGCUGCUGGGGGAGCCCUGUGACAGGUGAGCAUUCUGCUGUGAGUGGACAAGGGCUAUGGUUGGUCUGCAUAGAGCUUCUGUGCAAAUUAAGAAAAGGUGCCCCUGUGGGUAGAUGCAGCACUGGGCAAAGGCAAAAGGUUUGGCAAAUGGAGAGUUGUUUGGUUUCAUUCCCCUCUUGCCCCCUUAGUUGAGUGUCUUUGUGCAGUAAACAACCUGCACCACGGUACAUGGAAAGGUCCUGAAUGGAAAAGUCUCUGAGUCUUGGGACUGUCCCACUUGCCUUGGUAUUUGGACCCCUUCCUAUAGGGCCUGCCCAGCAGACAGGACUUCCUGUUGUCAGUCAUUGCUUCCCUCAACCAUAUCAGAGCCUCCUCAACCCUUUGUAAAACAUGGCUGGGAGGGGACAAGGGGCUUGGGGAGAAGGCAACAUUUAUCAGGUGUCUAGCGUGCACCAGUCACUGGGCAGGUGCUGGGUAUAUAAAGGUGAGUGAGUUCUGCCUCUUUCCUGACAGUCUGCUGAAGGGAACAGAUAGGCAAAUAAAGUAAGAACAAAUUCUUACAAGGAAAUGAGUGCAAAGCUGUGGCGACAGAGAGGGGAGCACACGACCCUGACUCAGGAGUCAUGAGUCUUCUCAGAGGACAUACUCUAUGACUUGGGGCCUCGGAGGAGUUUCCAGGCCAACAAGUAAAGGAAAGGCAUUCCAGGCAGGGGGAACAGCUUAUGCAAAGGCACAGAGAUCUGGAACUGCAUGGUUGGGUUGAGGAAAAGAGGCUGCCAAGAAUGUACUCAUGUCCUUCUCCCAUCCACCUGACUCAUCCAUCCAAAGAGGUCCAAUGUCAACUUUUCUGUGAUACCUUCCUUUGCUUCCCCGAGUCCAUCCCCUUAAGUCUCUGACAUGCACAUGUACAUCUCUCAAAGCACCUGGCACCUCAUACCGUAGUCAGGUACACCCUAGUCUCUCACCAGACCCUGAGCUCCCUGAGGGCAGAGGCUGCCCCUGCCUCACCUGUGUGUCCUCUCUCCUCACAAAGUGCUAGGCACAUGUCAAGUGUGGGAGAAAGGUUUGUUAAGUGAAUCGAUUAACAGUGUACCUGAAGCAGAGGAAGCCCAGUGAAGCAGGUCUGGAUGUGAGGCUGGACAGAAAUACUGGAUAAUACCAUGCAAAGGGUUCUGGACGACAGGCACUGGUGGCCAUCAUCAGUUCUGGCUGUAGGGUGACAUCAGGGUCAAGGUCACAUAUGUUUUGUGGUGGUACCAGGGUAUUCAAUCUGGCAGGCAGGUCCUGGCAGUAGGACACCCUGGUGGCCUCCCACCGUCUGGAGCCACACAGGAGCCUUACAUAGGGGAGGAGUCCCCAGGGGGUGGGAGAAGCGCAGGGCUGCCUCAGCUAGGAUAUCUUGAUUAUAGAUGACAAAUAAUAACGCCUCUAUUAUUUCACUUGAUAGGAAGUCCAGAGGAAGGAGAUUUUUCAGUGUAAUAGGGCUCAAUAAUACAGUAACAUCAUCGAGGUUCCUUCCAUUGCACUGCCUCAACUUCAUCGAAACACUGUUGACCCUCACGAUUGCAAGAUGGUCGGAGCAGUUCCAGGAAUUACACUCAGGCCCAUCAGUGCUCAACGGCAGAAAACAGGCACUCUUUCCGUAGUCUCCUUCCUAGAAGCGAGGAAUCCUUUCCCAGAAGUCCCUGAGCAGACCUCUCCUCACAUCUCGUUGGCCAGAAUUGGGUCACAUGCUGACUCCUGCACCAAUCACUGGCAAGAGACCGAUGAUUGGCUUAGACUAAUCAGGGUCCACCCUCUGGAGCAGCGGGUGCGGUUACCCUGCCCUACAGCUGGUGGUGUGGCGGAGGAGAUGAUGCUUAUCAGUGGAAGGCUGUAUCCCAACGUCGGUACCUUGAGAUGGGUGUGUGUGUGCACGCGCACAAGGAUGAGCAGCGUCCCCCCGCCCCGGAAUGCCAGGGAAGGGCAUCCUCCAGGAGAACCAAGAGUGUUAUCGAAGAGGCUAACACACUAGACGGUUCCAAAGGGCGUGGGAGGAAAGGCUUCGUCGGCUGGCCUCAAGUGUUGCGUUAGACGCUGACAGAGUGAGGGCCCAGCCGUUCUGGAGGCUUGAUGAUUUAGCAGACAGGGCAUCGAGGGGGCAGGUGUGGCUGAGUGCGGGGCUGUAGGAGGGAGGCUGUGAGGUCGCGGGAGACUGCGCAGCCUGUUUCACACACUCUGCCCACACACCACACACGCAAAUACCCAUACCGCGCACAGCCUUGCCAUUUACGAUUGUAAACUCCUCAGAUGGCACAAGGCAGCUCUUUGCCCAAGCAACAAAAGAAAGGCCCUGCGUUUUAUUCAGAGAAAUACAGAGGAGUUAUCUGUAUCUUCUUCCCACCUGGACGUCGCAAAAGCCCCCAGCCCCACCCACCCUCAGCCAGGAUGGCUGGAACAGCUGGGGACUGGCUGAGCCAUUCUUUCUCCACGGAGGUAUCUCCAGGAGGGUGGCAGGGCUUUUUACGUGGUGGCUGGCUUCCAAAUGGGCGAGGGAGUGGAUGCUACAAGAGUUUUAAGGUCUGGGCUCAGGAGUUCUAAUAUAUCUCUUUUUUUCCUCCUGGUCAAAGCAAGGCAUCAGGCCAGCCCAGAAUCAAGGGGAGGAGCAACAGACUCUAUCUCUUGGUGAGAGGAGCAGGCCAUGCACACAGGGAUGAGAAGGGUCGUUGGUGGCCAUCUUGGGAAACAAAAGGUCUACAUACAGAACUGGUGAGCGGCAGAGCUGGGAUCAAGCCUAUGGCUGUUUAAUGCCGGGUCCACACUUCAGCAUCACUGAUCAGAUCAUGGAGUUUUUAAGCUGGAAAUGACUCUUGAGAUCAUCUAGUGGUCCACAGCCCUGAGGGUCUUGAGCUGGGUUUCCUCAGAAGCAGACCUUGAGGACCAAUUCGAGUGUCAGUGGCUUAUUUGGGAGGUGAUCCCAAAAAGCCCUGAUAGGGGAGUGGAGAAGUGUGACAGCAAAGGGAUGGAAACUAAAUGAGCAGCUUACCUUGUGGAACCCAGUCUUGCUGGAGACUUCUGGGAGGUGAUGUGGAACACCUCUGAGGGGCUAGGAAGCUGGGGUGUUCAUCCUCUCACUUCCCACGCUGGUGCAUGGGUCCCCUCCCAGACUCAUGGAACUCACCCUUGAUCUGACUUUCCUUUUUGGCCUUGUUCAGGACACCUUCAUUCACUCCCAGUUCUGGAGUCUUCUUUCUGUCAUGGUCCCUGGGCUGGAGAAGCCCUACUGCUGUUUACCGUGAAGUUACAUGCAACAACCUGGCCAGGCUCUUUAGCAGCAGUAAAACUCCAGACUUUUCCAGGGCAACAAGUGGUUCCCUCUGCUUGGAUCUGUAGGCUGUCCCUGCUUGUCCUAACCCAACAGGUUCUUCUGGCUGCAAGAACUAUAAUUAGAACUUGUGGUGGACUGUUACUUUCGUGGCUGCCAAAGAACCAUGCCUCCCAGUGUUCAUAUCCUGGUGUAGAGCCCUCCCGCGUUGACUCUGAGCUCAGCUAUGUGACUUGUUUUAGCCAAUGGGACAUUAGCAAACAUGAUGCAAGCAGAGGCUUGAUAAGUGCUUGUACAUCGGGGGUUUUCCUCUUGCAACCCAGCUGCUGUGCUAUAAGGAAGUCGAAGCCAUCUUGCUGGAGAGAGAGAUCGUAUGAAGAAAACCACACAUGAAGAGAGAGGUAAGCCACUGGAGGAGCACUGAGCCAUUGCACAGAUCUUCUUACGGAGCUGUAUGAAAAUCUAACCUGGCGCUUCUGACUGCUAUGGAACACUCUGAUGUGCAUCUUCCAGCUCCACCUGUUCAUUCUGCUGCGGACGAACACCCAGACAGCCUCCAAUUCCUGCCACUUUAAACAAUACAGUAUUAAACGUCUUUGUUCAUGUCACCUUACAGAGCUGAUAAAACAAAUGUUCACCCAUUUUAUUCACAAACCACAGUGCAUAUCCAAAUGCCUUUAAAUGUGAUGCCAAAAAAAAAAAAAAUCCAGUAAACACACAGAUUUAUAAAGCUGAAUUUAGAUUUCUCACAUUCUCUCUUUAUUUUCAUAAUGAAAAUGUUCAAAAAGUUCAGUUAACAUCGUGACUUUGAAAACACAGAGAAUCAUUUUAGAAACAAAUUAUUUCCUAAUCGGUAUAUACCUCAUGAGGAAAAAAAACAUUAAAAAAAAUCAAAUCUGUUGUAUUCAUUUAAAACAAACACACACUCCCAGUAGAACCUCCCAAGGUUUGUACGGUGACUGCAUUUUUCCAGCUGAGCAAUAUUACGAUGUUUCAGAGGGACUCCUAAAUCACUGAGCACAUGGAUCAGACAGGCCCUUGUUCGCCAGCACAUGGUCUCUGUUCUUGCACAGCCUGCUUCUGCAGCAACAGCAUUCUUCGCUCUCUUUGCAAUUUUAACUCCCACUUGAAAGGGAAAAACAUCAGACACAUCUAUAGACAUAGGAUGGCUCUCAACCUGCCCUCUUUCCCUGUGGGAAGUUACAGCUCUUACAGUGUAUCUCUAACCUGUCAAACUGUCCAACAAACUCAGAGGACAGAGUUUUCGAUGUACUCUUUCAUUCUUUUCCAAGCCCUGACAUUUUUGGUCCAUAUUCCCGUUCAGAUGUGGCAGCUCACCAUUUAGUGGCAGUUCCCACACAGCCUGCUCUGGAGACCUGCUUCCUUGUGAGUUGGUGGCCACUCUCUGGUCACCUCAGUGGGUGGGCAAUCUAUUCCCUUAAAUUUAGUGGGUCUCUGUUUCUUUUACAACCUAGCCCCAGCUCUCUCAAAGGAUUCCAAUGGGAAAUCUAUGAAAAGCUUUCAUAUUUUGAAUCCUUCUCUCCAAACAAACCCUUCUGUAGCUUCUAUUUUGACAUGUUGCCUUCCUGACUCCUGUAGUUAUAGACGUAGGCAAAAAUAGUUUUCCCGGAGGUUCCUGAGCCUUCUACAACUGCUGGGACAGUGCAUAACCUGACCUAUGGCUUGGCGAACCCUUCUGCCUCUCAAUGUGCAAGUGAAGACCUUCACUCUCCAUCAGAGGGCAGUUCACCUAGGGCUGGCUAAACCCCCACCACAACCGGAUCUUCUCUUUUGGACUGAGGCAAGCCGUGUGUGGCUUGGAUCACAAUUUCCUCAGGCCUUAGCCCUCAUGUCCUUCCCACUAAUCCUGGAACCUUGAAACCUCUCCCUCUUUCCUCUAUCUCUGAUGCUUCAGAGUAGUUCUCACCAAUUCUUACUGAAGCCUCCUUUUAAAAAGAUAUGCAAAAUAGCGAGGAAAAUUUUAGGGAUUGUUAAUAAAGAAGGGGAGCUUUCCUACCAGAUACUGAAGUGCCUUAAGCUGUGACAACUGAAACAGUUUAUUAUGGUGUAUGAAUUGGUAGAUGAGUGGAAUGGAAGAGAAAAUCUCAACACAGACCAAGAAUCUAGAAGAAUUUAGCAUGUGGAGAUGACAGCAUCUCAAACUCCCAUAUGUGGACUGACAGUGAUGAAAGAUUGGGUGAUACAAUUUACAAUGUUAGAAGUGCUGGUUAAUCAUUUGGGGGCAAAAUUAGAUCCCUAUCUAAUGCCAAAUAGAUGAAACAUCUAAAUGUUCAAAAAGGAAGAAGGAAAAAGAAGUCAUCAGUAGACUAGAGAAUACUGGUGAAAAUUUAUAUAACCUCAGAAUGAGGAAAGCUUUCUAAGCACAGCAACAAAGGCAAAAACCUAAAGGAAAGUAUUGAUAGAUCUACCCAAACCCCAAAUCAGACACUUCUAUAUCUACAAACUCAUCAAAAAUAAAACUUAAAGGCAAAAUAAAACUGGGGAAAAUAUUAUUGCAUAUAUGGCAAAUUAUUAAUAGCAUUUGUAUAUUAAGAAUUGUCAUAGAUCAGUGAGAAUAAAAGUGAGAGUGAUGUUGAGCCCUACAUAAGGCAUCAUUGUCUGAGGAAGGCUGCCAGCCAAUGGUAACAGCUUGAUUACAUCAGACCCCUUCCUCUCCUAAUGGGGCAGCAAUUUGUUCUUCUUAGAUUUUUAUCUACUGCAGAUAUGGGUUUGCCUUCUCUGUCUACAGUGUGGCUGCCAGCACUCCCAUAUGUGGACUGACAGAAAUGACAUGGUAUUCUGAAUAAAGUGGCCUCAACAUGAGGGACCAAUUUUAUGGAUAAAGUACUGAUAAUGGCACACGCAAUGGCUUCCACUGGCCUUCCCAUACAUCCCAUUAGCUGGAAGGAACCAGCCUAACAUAAUAGUGGAAUGACCUGCAGGGUUGGUGUGCUGAAGUCCAGGAUGCAAUAUGCACACUGAAUGGAUAAGCAAUUGGUAGAGCUGUGUUGCCAGUAGCUAAAAUGCGCAGGUCUGGGGAGCGGAGGAGAGGGGAAGGAGGAAUAGUUGCUCUCUCUAUCGCUCCAGUGACACACUUAAGAAGGCUGUGCUUCCUUCCCUGUAAACUUUGAUUUGGUUGGAUUAGAGGUCCUGUUUCUCAAAGUGUGGAAUGGUUCCAUCAGGGCCCACAGUGAGAGUUCCUCUGAACUUGAAGCUAUGCCUGUGGACCAGGAGGCAUAGAAAGUUAUUAUACUGGUGUCUUAGAGUGGAUUCUACCAAAAGCAGGCCCUGAAACCAGGAUUUGAGUGUGGGUAGUUUAUUUGGGAGAUGAUUCCAGGACAUACCAAAGGGAGGUAGGGAAGUAAGACAGAUGGAGGAAGGAAGCCAAUGUAGGGUGUUAGUGAAUAGGUUGCCGCUGUGGGAAACUGGGCCUCAUUCCUGCUGGGGACCUCUGGGAGGCAUGUGGAACAUGCCUUAGAGUUGUCUUUCCAGAGGAGCAAGGUAUAACUCCCAGGGCUUGAUCCAGGGGCUUCAGCUCUAUGUCCUGUACUGAAUGGGUGCUGAGCAUGGUCUUAAGGCCAGAGGAACCCCGAGGCAGGGAGCACUGGUGUUGGAAGUAAGGAGCUGCUGAGUGCAUGACAGCAGUGGUCUGGGCUUUCUUUCUAUGGCUGUUAAUAACAGUCAUUGUUGUUAUCCUUGUAAUUCCCAUCAUCCCCUUACUUUUCAAGUGCCAGACCCACUGCUGAAGCCUGCUCAUCCCCUUCCUCCUGUGUAGUAACUGGGAUAUUGAGCAUAGCAUGGGUUCUUACCACCAUACUUACUGGCAGAAUUCAGAUCCUUUUUCCCACCAGGCCAGUGAGAGGUCCAAUUCCAGAAUCUCAGCCUGAGUGUCUGCUCCCUUGGGGCACUUCUUGUAUCAAUCAUCCUAGUUUGGGUUCCCCACAAAGCAGACUUUGAGACUAGACUUUGAGGAUGCAUAGUUAACUUGGGAGUGAUCCCAGGAAACACCAGCAUGGAAGUGAGAAGGUGAGACAGGAAAGGGAAGCGGGUCCAUAUCGUGUAUGUUAACAAUCACAGGUCACCACUGUGGGCAACGGGAGAUGGUGUGAACAUGCCUCAGAAUUGUCCCAGUCUCACCAGAGGGGCCACGUAGCUGGGGUGUUUGUCUACCAACUCUUAUUCAUCACUGGUCCAGACUAUCCCCAGGGUGCCCGCUCCUCUGCCUUCUGACCUGUUCUGAGAGUGAGCUGAGCAUGUUCCCACAGCCAGAGGAAGCCUUUGGGUGGGGAGUCUCCAGGGCUUGAGGUAAGAAGCUGCUGUGUGCAUGGGACAGUGAUUGUCAAAUAGUGCUAGUUUAUUGUUGGGAGGUAAUUCUCUGUGGGACUUUGACAUUGCUGCAUGUCUUAUAGGCAGAGGCCCUUGUUCUACACUGGAUUUUUCAAUGAUGUCUACAGAGUUCUUAAUGUAGUCGCAGCAGGAUUGCAGAGAAACCCAACAGAGACAACCUGGAAUCUACACUGAACCAGCAGUCAUACCGAUAGGGGCCCACUGAACACACCCCCGGAUCACUGCAUUCUUUAGGUGACCCCGAGAGCUCCUGGAAGAUGAAGACCUUGAGGUUCAUGGACUCACCUGGAGAAUUUAUCAGAAGAGGCAUCAAAUAAAAGACUCUCUGCAGCCCUGUUGGAAAGGACCAUACCAAGUACUUUUAACCAAUUCAUGCACUACAGAAUCAAAAGGCAUUCACAUUUUUCAUUUAAAAAAGGCUUCUCCACCUGAGUGGGUUUCAGUUCCUAUUUUUGAUACCUGACUUGAACUGAUCAAUGCAAAUAUCUACAAAACAGGAUGAGAAGAAGACGGCAUCUGUUGUAGACAGCUGUCCCAAGACUCCAGACCAGGUCUGUAUUCUCAACCUUGUAGCUCCUCAUUUAAACCUUUGUAAUGCUUAAACUGUAUACCUAUUUUAUAAUGUUCCAUUUAAGGUUUUCAGAAUACUAUCAUACUUAAAGAAAGUGAUUGAUUUGGAACAGACUGGUCUCAAAGGCCAAGCAUUUAUUGGGUGGCUCCUAAUGGAACUUGGUGGUCAUGUGGAACAAAUCUCUAGCCUUGGCUACUGCCUGGAUGGCUAAAACACUGCACCCGGAGCUUCCCUUGGAUGCAAGGAAGGAUUCACACUGAGCUAACACCAGUUGCCAAUCUUCUUCUCUUUAAGGCCAGAUGGGCUCAUUCAGUGUUCCACCGGUAUGGCCACCUAUGGCUAUAUUUGUUGCUUCUUGGGGCUAGAGGAUGUCAUAUCACAUAUAGAAGUCCUGACUAAAUUUACUCAACAAGCCCUUAAUGGUAGUCAAGAAAGAAUAGUGUUAUUAAAUACUAAAAUGUCUUGAAUGGGAAAGACUGUCCUUCAAAAUAGAAUGGCGUUAGAUAUUUUAACUGCAUCCCAAGGUGGUACAUAUAUAAUUAUUCAAACUGAAUGCUGUGCUUUUAUAUGUGGUAAAUCUUCCAGUGUGUCCUCUCUGCUAAAGCACAUGAAAAAGCUAGUGAAUGUCUUAAAUGAAUCUUUUAUAAUUGUAAACAAUGUGAACAUAAGGAAUCAGGUAAAAGCACAUGUACAAUGUUUAUGCAACAACCUAAAAUUAAUUGAAAAAUUAUAUAAUCUAUGAAAUGCUUCCUCUGUUAAUGUAUACCUCUAUGCUUGUCUGACUACUUCCCCCUAAUGUGGACAACUGGGAAAAUAAAUGAGAUAAAAGCAAUGAGGGACAUGAUGGACCCAAGGCAGACAGUAACCACCCUGGCACCAAGGGACAAUAUUUUGAUCAUCAGUGCUUUCUAUUGAAAGAUUAUAGAUCAAAGGGGAGGGGGGAACGAUAAAUAAAUGACAAGCAAAGGAUAUAUUGGAGUAUACGAGAAAGGCAUUUGGGUUAAAAUUAAUUUGGCCUGACCUUGUUUCUCCAAAAGGGCCUGAUGUGCCCUGUUGAGCAUGCAUUGUUGUAUGUCUGCUUUAAACAUACUAUGUCCCCAAAAUAAGAGUGAUACCCUUAAAGAUAGGGAUGUAACUUCCCCCCAUAUUGGCAUUUCUUUAAGGAUAAGCAUCUUUUCCUAAACUAAGGAUUAAUGACUGACCUGCUGUGCUCCCCUUGUGACCACCAACGUGCUGUGCCAGCUAAGUAUCUCAUGACAAUCGUAAAAGGGACAUUCCUAUCAUAUGUGAUGUAUGCUCUUUGUUCCAAGAAGGUAUAUAACCACUCUGUACACCCCAUUUCUUUGGUGCCCUUCCUCCUUUGGGGAAGGAAGACCCUGGGCUAGUCCUCAGAUCUGGCCCAUGAUAAACUCACUCCAAUUUUGAUUUAUAGAUUGAUUAUGGAUUUUUUGUGUCUACAUAGUGAAUGGCCCUGGGAGAUAGAGAUAGUGUCUCCCUCUGAAGCGAAGGGCGGGCAUGUUUACUGCCAAUUAAAAAAGAUUCAGGUUCCCUAAUUCAGGGUUCUUCUCCUGAAAUGCAAGUGUCACCUACACCUCUUUAUGUCACUCUGUGAGACAAAAAAAAAAAAAAAAAAAUGCUGAUAUUCUGGCAUUGCUAUCACUAAGAGUCACAAAGUCCUUUGUCUCUGACCCAGGAGUCUUCUGUUUUCUGCCAGCACCCUUGAAACUGUGACAGGCUAACUUGGUAGCUUGUAAGUAGGAUAUCUUAGACUUGUCACAGUUCUUGAUACUGUGUUAUUUUCAUCUUUACUCAGACCCUAAAUCUACUUGGUUAAACUCCCCCUGUGCUCUUCUCUCAGCUUUGUGUUGUUGCAAGAAUUCAUUCAAGAAUCAUUCAACAACUUUUUAUUGGGGAUCUUUUGUCUGCCUAGUGCUAUUCCAAGGCCUAGAGAUACAAUGGUAAAGGAAGCAGACACAAUCCUCACCCUCUUGUGACUUAUAUUCUAGUGAAGCACUCGUCUGUGCCGUCAGCUUGCUCUCUUUUUUUUGUCCCUCUCUUUCUCUCUAAAUAACCUGAACUGAAAUUCACCAAUGAUACUGAUUCUAUUCCCUCCUCUAACUUUGAAACCAACCACUCCCUCCUCCAGUAAACAGAUUUCUUCCCUGAAUUUCUUUGCAGAUCAAUACUACCAAUUCUUCCCACUUUAAGAGUGAAAGGCUAGAUUCUGUUCCUGACUCUGCCACUAACUCCAUGAUCUUGGACACGUCACCUUUAUUUUCAUAAGCCUUCGAUUCCUCAUCUGUAAAAUGAAUGAAAUGGUGCAUAUCCUGCUGAGUGAUUGGAGGGGUUGGAGGAGAUCACGUAUACAAUCAGGAAAUUUCUGUGCAGCACACAGUUGCUGUGUGCUCUCCACACUAAGAGCAACCACUAAGUUGCCGUCUCCCGUUCCAACCCUAGCCCGGUCCUCAGUAAGGAUUGGUUGGAAAGGAGGAACCCAGGCGCUUCUAAUUUUCAACAUUUCUCUGAUUUCUGAUUUACUGCUGCUUAGACCUCAUGUUGUAUAUGCCCUGCUUUCAUAGCUUGCUUUCCACACAGUCCGCUCAGCCUCUUCCUGCCCUUAAUAUGGUAUAAAAACUAACAAAUCCACACAGAAAAUAUGACUUCCUGCAGCCAGCAGCAGCUCCAGACAAUUCAUCACCAAAUAGACUAGAAUAACACUAACUUUUGCUACCAUAGCAACUGCUAUUGGUUGCACAAUUGCUGACUUUUGAAGCUACUUAAAAAUGUGCCAACCGUUUUGCAUAAAGUGGCUUUACGUCACCAAGAGCAGUGGUUUUCAUCUCCCCUCAAGAUUCUGCUUUAAGAAAUUGUAGCUUUUCCACCCUUAGAAGCAUUUCAUAAUUUAUUUUUUCAAAGAACCAUUUUAAAACAAAGUUUUGCCAGUGGUUUCUUCAUGCCCGUGUAAGGGCAAAUACAAAUUAAAAAUAAGGGGCUUACUUCUUCUGUUGAAGUAAAAAGAGACUUGCUCCUUCCCUUUCCUUAGAACCUUUACUUUAGAAAACUUGUCAUUGUGUAAGCUGUUUCUCUGUCUCCCUUUGAAAUGCGUGCAAAUCUUUUUUUAAAGCUAAAUAAGCCUUUUGCCAGCUUUAAGACCUAGGAAUAUCUUUCUCAAGGACCUGGGAACUGUCUCUUAAAAAUGUCACCUUGAGGAAGCUGAUGCCCGACCUGCCAGCUCCUGUGGGAGAAUAGGAGCCUCCGAGCUGCAGAACUGCCUCCUGCCAUAAAGAGACGAGAAGCUUAUGUUUCCUUUGGACAAAGGCAAUCAGUUAACACAGAUGGCCACCCCAGCUGCCAAGUGAAUUUAAGAUGAGCUAUGCGUGACAAAUGGUGCUGUCAAGUUUUUUUACUUGAGGACUAGUUAUUGUUUAGCUUGAGAACACCUAUGUAAUGGAUUGUAUCUGCUUGGCUCUGUAAAAGGGUAAGAUUCCUUUCUAUCUUUGCGAUCUCUUAGUGAAUUGCCUGAGAUGCACAUCACAAUCUGGUUUAAUACUUAUUCAAUAAUAAAAUUGUUUGCUUUCUCUUCUAC
RNAcentral lists this long non-coding RNA (12555 nucleotides) under Equus asinus (donkey). RNAcentral describes it as "lncRNA (ENSEASG00005031266.1)". Lineage: Eukaryota; Metazoa; Chordata; Mammalia; Perissodactyla; Equidae. The record is from RNAcentral.